This 502-nucleotide ribosomal RNA is filed under the name uncultured bacterium. Its description in RNAcentral is "partial 16S ribosomal RNA". It matches the Rfam family "Bacterial small subunit ribosomal RNA", at positions 30 to 523 of the family's 1533-position model. The record is from RNAcentral.
AUUGAACGCUGGCGGCAUGCCUUACACAUGCAAGUCGAACGGCAGCACGGGUGCUUGCACCUGGUGGCGAGUGGCGAACGGGUGAGUAAUAUAUCGGAACGUGCCUUAGAGUGGGGGAUAACUAGUCGAAAGAUUAGCUAAUACCGCAUACGAUCUACGGAUGAAAGUGGGGGAUCGCAAGACCUCAUGCUCUUAGAGCGGCCGAUAUCUGAUUAGCUAGUUGGUGGGGUAAAAGCCUACCAAGGCGACGAUCAGUAGCUGGUCUGAGAGGACGACCAGCCACACUGGGACUGAGACACGGCCCAGACUCCUACGGGAGGCAGCAGUGGGGAAUUUUGGACAAUGGGGGCAACCCUGAUCCAGCAAUGCCGCGUGAGUGAAGAAGGCCUUCGGGUUGUAAAGCUCUUUUGUCAGGAAAGAAAUCCUAUUCGCUAAUACCGAGUGGGGAUGACGGUACCUGAAGAAUAAGCACCGGCUAACUACGUGCCAGCAGCCGCAGUAA